CCUACGGGUGGCAGCAGUGAGGAAUAUUGGUCAAUGGACGAGAGUCUGAACCAGCCAAGUAGCGUGAAGGAUGACUGCCCUAUGGGUUGUAAACUUCUUUUAUAUGGGAAUAAAACGUUCCACGUGUGGGAUUUUGUAUGUACCAUAUGAAUAAGGAUCGGCUAAUUCCGUGCCAGCAGCCGCGGUAAUACGGAGGAUCCGAGCGUUAUCCGGAUUUAUUGGGUUUAAAGGGAGCGUAGGUGGAUUGUUAAGUCAGUUGUGAAAGUUUGCGGCUCAACCGUAAAAGUGCAGUUGAAACUGGCAGUCUUGAGUACAGUAGAGGUGGGCGGAAUUCGUGGUGUAGCGGUGAAAUGCUUAGAGAUCACGAAGAACUCCGAUUGCGAAGGCAGUUCACUGGACUGCAACUGACACUGAGGCUCGAAAGUGUGGGUAUCAAACAGGAUUAGAUACCCUGGUAGUC
RNAcentral lists this ribosomal RNA (460 nucleotides) under uncultured bacterium. RNAcentral describes it as "partial 16S ribosomal RNA". It matches the Rfam family "Bacterial small subunit ribosomal RNA", at positions 338 to 795 of the family's 1533-position model. The record is from RNAcentral.